Molecule: long non-coding RNA, 235 nt
Filed under: Elaeis guineensis (African oil palm)
Lineage: Eukaryota; Viridiplantae; Streptophyta; Magnoliopsida; Arecales; Arecaceae
Description: long non-coding RNA (EGUI_LNC048844)
Source: RNAcentral
GAGGAGUGGAUGUAGGUGUAAGGUUGGCAUCGAACUACUAUAAAUUCUUUGUAUUUGUUGUGCUUGCCUCUCUUAUCUUGUUCUUUGUGCUCAUUACAUGCUUACUUCUUAUUAGUGUUUGAUUUUGCUUCUAUUGCAAGUUGAUACAGUUCACUCUUCACCUUGGCACAUUGCUUAAGUAGUUCAAUCUUUAAAAUUUUAAAAAGAUCCAAUUCACCACCCCUAUUGGGCUCCA